RNAcentral lists this long non-coding RNA (506 nucleotides) under Lathyrus oleraceus (garden pea). RNAcentral's name for it is "Pisum sativum (pea) long non-coding RNA (PSAT_LNC028184)". The record is from RNAcentral. Lineage: Eukaryota; Viridiplantae; Streptophyta; Magnoliopsida; Fabales; Fabaceae.
CUACACUCACCCCCAACGUUCACCUCAUCUCGUUACCAUCCAUCUCCCCUCAUAUAUUCCUACUGUUCACACAACUUAAAUCACCUUCUUCAUUUUUGCACACAAACAAAAUGUGACCUGCAACUUUCAUAUGACAACACUUCUUCACACCAAAACCUCCUUCUUCUCCAUAACCACCUUCCUCAACCACCCUCAUUAAAUACUUUCCCGGACCACCUUGAUCACCACCACAAAGCUCACCGCCGACGAGUAUUCAACGUCUCCAUCCACCACUUACCACUUAACACCACGAAAAAAAUCUUCACUUCAAGCUUCCAUGUAAAAUCAUAAACUCCUUCAUUAUAACUUAUGACUAACCUCACUCAAACACAUAUCAAACUUCCUUCCUCUAUUUUUCUUCACAUGAAAUUUGUUUCACCUUUAUCCUUGGCAUCGUAGCACCUUCUACAAGCAAAAACAACACUACAUCAUAUCUCUUUUUCCACCCCUUCAUAUCCUCCACAAAC